AUAUCUAAGUGAGAUUUCGGUCAAGUGAGGAUAUGGAGAGCGGCGGACGGGUGAGUAACGCGUAGGCAACCUGCCCCAUACAGAGGGAUAGCCUCGGGAAACCGGGAUUAAGACCUCAUAACGCGAGAAGUUCACAUGAACAGCUCGCCAAAGAUUUAUCGGUAUGGGAUGGGCCUGCGUCUGAUUAGCUAGUUGGUGAGGUAACGGCUCACCAAGGCGACGAUCAGUAGCCGACCUGAGAGGGUAAUCGGCCACAUUGGAACUGAGACACGGUCCAAACUCCUACGGGAGGCAGCAGUGGGGAAUAUUGCACAAUGGGCGAAAGCCUGAUGCAGCAACGCCGCGUGAGCGAUGAAGGCCUUUGGGUCGUAAAGCUCUGUCCUUGGGGAAGAAAAAAAUGACGGUACCCAUGGAGGAAGCCCCGGCUAACUACGUGCCAGCAGCCGCGGUAAUACGUAGGGGGCAAGCGUUAUCCGGAAUUAUUGGGCGUAAAGAGUGCGUAGGUGGUUUUAUAAGCGCGGGGUGAAAGGCAAUGGCUCAACCAUUGUUAGCCUUGCGAACUGUGAGACUUGAGUGCAGGAGAGGAAAGUGGAAUUCCUAGUGUAGCGGUGAAAUGCGUAGAUAUUAGGAGGAACACCAGUGGCGAAGGCGACUU
RNAcentral lists this ribosomal RNA (655 nucleotides) under uncultured bacterium. RNAcentral describes it as "bacterial SSU rRNA". It matches the Rfam family "Bacterial small subunit ribosomal RNA", at positions 53 to 727 of the family's 1533-position model. The record is from RNAcentral.